This 407-nucleotide ribosomal RNA is filed under the name Verrucomicrobiota bacterium. RNAcentral's name for it is "Verrucomicrobia bacterium partial 16S ribosomal RNA". It matches the Rfam family "Bacterial small subunit ribosomal RNA", at positions 355 to 776 of the family's 1533-position model. The record is from RNAcentral. Lineage: Bacteria; Pseudomonadati; Verrucomicrobiota.
UGGGGAAUAUUUGACAAUGGAGGAAACUCUGAUCCAGCAAUUCUGUGUGUGUGAAGAAGGUUUUAGGACUGUAAAACACUUUUAGUAGGGAAGAAAAAAAUGACGGUACCUACAGAAGAAGCAACGGCUAAAUACGUGCCAGCAGCCGCGGUAAUACGUAUGUUGCGAGCGUUAUCCGGAAUUAUUGGGCUUAAAGGGCAUCUAGGCGGUAAGACAAGUUGAAGGUGAAAACCUGUGGCUCAACCAUAGGCUUGCCUACAAAACUGUUGAACUAGAGUACUGGAAAGGUGGGUGGAACUACACGAGUAGAGGUGAAAUUCGUAGAUAUGUGUAGGAAUGCCGAUGAUGAAGAUAACUCACUGGACAGAAACUGACGCUGAAGUGCGAAAGCUAGGGGAGCAAACAGG